CGGACGGGUGAGUAACGCGUGGAUAACCUGCCCCAUACCGGGGGAUAACAGCCGGAAACGGCUGCUAAUACCGCAUAAGCGCACAGGAAUGCAUAUUCCAGUGUGAAAAACUCCGGUGGUAUGGGAUGGAUCCGCGUCUGAUUAGCUAGUUGGCGGGAUAGAGGCCCACCAAGGCGACGAUCAGUAGCCGACCUGAGAGGGUGGCCGGCCACAUUGGGACUGAGACACGGCCCAGACUCCUACGGAAGGCAGCAG
RNAcentral lists this ribosomal RNA (255 nucleotides) under uncultured bacterium. RNAcentral's name for it is "partial 16S ribosomal RNA". It matches the Rfam family "Bacterial small subunit ribosomal RNA", at positions 99 to 354 of the family's 1533-position model. The record is from RNAcentral.